This is a long non-coding RNA of Prunus avium (sweet cherry), 852 nucleotides long. RefSeq lists it as uncharacterized. The record is from RefSeq and is a predicted model, not a curated record. Lineage: Eukaryota; Viridiplantae; Streptophyta; Magnoliopsida; Rosales; Rosaceae.
ACAAAAAUAAAAAAUAAGUUCCCAACUCGUUAUUUCCUCUCAGACCCCCUCUCCAUCUCGCACGCCCUUUCGCUGCUCCAACAUCGCCACCGACGUCGGCAAGCCUAGGGUCAGAAAUCAACGGUUUUCCCUUUCUCUCCUCCACUUUCCUGUCGCAUGCCCAGGGUCAAAAAUCGACAGCUUCAUCUCCGAAGUCUUCCUCACUACAUGGUUCAACGGCAAAGUUCUGGAGGGCCAAACAUCUUGGCGAAACGCUGCGUUUGAGCAAAUGCCAGGGCUGAGAAAAUGGGCUCCUUCGGUCAGUUCAUGGCCGUGAUUUAUUAGGCACAAACAGAUUUUAUGAAAGAAGGGUGAAAAUCCUACAUACAUUAGCAACUGGAACAACAUGCAUAUGCAUACGGAUAAGGGCAUUUCGAUCAAUGAGGCUGCUGAAAUUAAAGAGAUUAUUUGAGGAGGUGGAAGGAUUUGGGUUGUUGUUUUGGACAGAGGACCAUUUGAAGAAGAUGAUUGAUGAGUUUGAGAAGAUCAAGCAACAAUUGGCAGAGUGUUUGGGAAAUCCACGAUAUUAGAUCACAGUCCCUUUCCCACGUGUUGAAGAUCAUGCAAAACUUGGAAUUACAAAAGGCAUAGUAUACAUGUAUUUUUUUUAGUCGAACCUAGUCUUAGAGUGGGGAAAUAAUUGCUUCAGAACUUGGGUUUACCAAGGGCAAGAAUAUAUGGAGCUUGGCCUCCAGUCUUGAGUGGAGAGUUCUUCACUCGUUUAUUUCUACUAUUUUUGGAUAUGUUAUGUGUAUUUGAACAACUAGUAUGCUCUUGUGUACUUUUGAAUGAGAGAAACUUUGCUUCAUGUCA